GAUGAACGCUGACAGAAUGCUUAACACAUGCAAGUCUACUUGAAUUUGGGUUUUUUAACUUAGAUUUGGGUGGCGGACGGGUGAGUAACGCGUAAAGAACUUGCCUCACAGCUAGGGACAACAUUUGGAAACGAAUGCUAAUACCUGAUAUUAUGAUUAUAAGGCAUCCUAGAAUUAUGAAAGCUAUAUGCGCUGUGAGAGAGCUUUGCGUCCCAUUAGCUAGUUGGAGAGGUAACGGCUCACCAAGGCGAUGAUGGGUAGCCGGCCUGAGAGGGUGAGCGGCCACAAGGGGACUGAGACACGGCCCUUACUCCUACGGGAGGCAGCAGUGGGGAAUAUUGGACAAUGGACCAAGAGUCUGAUCCAGCAAUUCUGUGUGCACGAUGACGUUUUUCGGAAUGUAAAGUGCUUUCAGUUGGGAAGAAAAAAAUGACGGUACCAACAGAAGAAGUGACGGCUAAAUACGUG
RNAcentral lists this ribosomal RNA (468 nucleotides) under uncultured bacterium. RNAcentral's name for it is "partial 16S ribosomal RNA". It matches the Rfam family "Bacterial small subunit ribosomal RNA", at positions 28 to 507 of the family's 1533-position model. The record is from RNAcentral.